This 210-nucleotide ribosomal RNA is filed under the name uncultured Coprobacillus sp. RNAcentral describes it as "partial 16S ribosomal RNA". It matches the Rfam family "Bacterial small subunit ribosomal RNA", at positions 293 to 495 of the family's 1533-position model. The record is from RNAcentral. Lineage: Bacteria; Bacillati; Bacillota; Erysipelotrichia; Erysipelotrichales; Coprobacillaceae.
UGAGAGGGUGACCGGCCACACUGGGACUGAGACACGGCCCAGACUCCUACGGGAGGCAGCAGUAGGGAAUUUUCGGCAAUGGGGGAAACCCUGACCGAGCAACGCCGCGUGAAGGAAGAAGUAAUUCGUUAUGUAAACUUCUGUCAUAGAGGAAGAACGGUGGAUAUAGGGAAUGAUAUCCAAGUGACGGUACUCUAUAAGAAAGCCACG